This 252-nucleotide ribosomal RNA is filed under the name uncultured bacterium. Its description in RNAcentral is "partial 16S ribosomal RNA". It matches the Rfam family "Bacterial small subunit ribosomal RNA", at positions 524 to 776 of the family's 1533-position model. The record is from RNAcentral.
UACGUAGGGGGCAAGCGUUGUCCGGAAUCAUUGGGCGUAAAGCGCGUGUAGGCGGUCCGGUAAGUCCGCUGUGAAAGUCGGGGGCUCAACCCUCGGAUGCCGGUGGAUACUGUCGGGCUUGAGUACGGAAGAGGCGAGUGGAAUUCCUGGUGUAGAGGUGAAAUUCGUAGAUAUCAGGAGGAACACCAGUGGCGAAGGCGGCUUCUGGACGGUAACUGACGCUGAGACGCGAAAGCGUGGGGAGCAAACAGG